RNAcentral lists this ribosomal RNA (468 nucleotides) under uncultured bacterium. RNAcentral describes it as "partial 16S ribosomal RNA". It matches the Rfam family "Bacterial small subunit ribosomal RNA", at positions 28 to 507 of the family's 1533-position model. The record is from RNAcentral.
GACGAACGCUGGCGGCGUGCUUAACACAUGCAAGUCGAACGGAAAGGCCCUGCUUUUGUGGGGUGCUCGAGUGGCGAACGGGUGAGUAACACGUGAGUAACCUGCCCUUGACUUUGGGAUAACUUUAGGAAACUGGGGCUAAUACCGGAUAGGAGCUCCUGCUGCAUGGUGGGGGUUGGAAAGUUUCGGCGGUUGGGGAUGGACUCGCGGCUUAUCAGCUUGUUGGUGGGGUAGUGGCUUACCAAGGCUUUGACGGGUAGCCGGCCUGAGAGGGUGACCGGCCACAUUGGGACUGAGAUAGGGCCCAGAAUCCUACGGGAGGCAGCGGUGGGGAAUAUUGCACAAUGGGCGGAAGCCUGAUGCAGCAACGCCGCGUGCGGGAUGACGGCCUUCGGGUUGUAAACCGCUUUCGCCUGUGACGAAGCGUGAGUGACGGUAAUGGGUAAAGAAGCACCGGCUAACUACGUG